GUACUUGCUUUGCAGUAUAUAUUCUGUAAUUGACCAAGACAGAGAAGAUUAGCAUGACCCUUCUGCAAGAAUGACAUGUGAAUUCAUGAAAUAUUCCAUCUUUUU
Perognathus longimembris pacificus (Pacific pocket mouse) is the source of this 105-nucleotide small nuclear RNA. Lineage: Eukaryota; Metazoa; Chordata; Mammalia; Rodentia; Heteromyidae. The record is from RefSeq and is a predicted model, not a curated record.